GUCUAUGGCCAUGCUACCCUGAACAAGCUCGAUCCCGUCUGAUCUCAGAAGCUAAGCACGGUCAGGCCUGGUUAGUACUUGGAUGGGAGACCACCUAGGAAGACCAGGUGCUGUAGGCA
This 119-nucleotide ribosomal RNA is filed under the name Pteropus alecto (black flying fox). Lineage: Eukaryota; Metazoa; Chordata; Mammalia; Chiroptera; Pteropodidae. The record is from RNAcentral.